UGGGGGAUAUUGCACAAUGGGCGCAAGCCUGAUGCAGCGACGCCGCGUGAGUGAAGAAGUAUUUCGGUAUGUAAAGCUCUAUCAGCAGGGAAGAAAGGCCCGCAAGGGAGAUGACGGUACCUGACUAAGAAGCCCCGGCUAACUACGUGCCAGCAGCCGCGGUAAUACGUAGGGGGCAAGCGUUAUCCGGAUUUACUGGGUGUAAAGGGAGCGCAGACGGAACUGCAAGUCUGAUGUGAAAGCCCGGGGCUCAACCGCGGGACUGCAUUGGAAACUGUAGAUCUGGAGUGCCGGAGGGGCAAGCGGAAUUCCUGGUGUAGCGGUGAAAUGCGUAGAUAUUAGGAAGAACACCAGUGGCGAAGGCGACUUACUGGACUGAAACUGACGCUGAGGCUCGAAAGCGUGGGGAGCAAACAGG
RNAcentral lists this ribosomal RNA (418 nucleotides) under uncultured prokaryote. RNAcentral describes it as "bacterial SSU rRNA". It matches the Rfam family "Bacterial small subunit ribosomal RNA", at positions 355 to 776 of the family's 1533-position model. The record is from RNAcentral. RNAcentral also lists the same sequence under 1 other name.